Long non-coding RNA from Cylas formicarius (sweet potato weevil), 624 nucleotides. RefSeq lists it as uncharacterized. The transcript is spliced from 3 exons. NCBI's taxonomy places the organism in Eukaryota, Metazoa, Arthropoda, Insecta, Coleoptera, Brentidae. The record is from RefSeq and is a predicted model, not a curated record.
CAUGGAUAUUUGAAAAUCGUACAAUUGGUCUUGGCAAGAUAUUAAUAUAAAAACUGUAAAAACCGCUGAAGUUCAUGAGGACGUUUUUGGGCACAUUUUUGCAAAACAAUAUGAAUUCAUUCACUGACAUGACCGUCAGAAUUGACAAACGUCAAAAUUCAAGGCGUGGGAAAUAUCUCCGAAAACAUCCGAUUGCUCCCAAACCAGUGCGGUAAAAUCCCGGAAAUAUCUGAAGUGGCUCGGAUCCGUGGGAAACGAAACUGACGUGGUAAAGUGACGCUUCCCGCGCGCUAGAUUUGUGUGUAAUUAGGAUCUCAUUGGAAUGACAACAUAUAAUCUAAUAAAUGAAUAUGCACCCCAACCAAAGACGAUAUUUCUACGACCGCAACCGACUUUGGCAUAUGAUCGGAACAUAAAUAAACUGCAAAACCUAGUCUAGUUACCUGGCAAAUACAGUACAUGGUUAUGGUACAGAACUAUAAAAAACCAAUGAAUCGUUUUGUUUACAAAUGGCGAUUUCAUUUAAUUAGUAACAAGGAGCAGAAAUCUUACAUGGUUAUUAGGUUAGACGGCAAACAAGUAAAGUUUCAUAGCUGCACAUUUUACACCUCAUCCAAUGUAAUU